GCCUACGGGGGGCAGCAGUAGGGAAUUUUCGUCAAUGGGCGCAAGCCUGAACGAGCAAUGCCGCGUGAACGAGGAGGGUCUUCGGAUCGUAAAGUUCUGUUGAAGGGGAAAAAGAGCGGAGAGAGGAAAUGGUCUCCGAUUGAUAUUACCCUUCGAGGAAGUCACGGCUAACUACGUGCCAGCAGCCGCGGUAAUACGUAGGUGGCGAGCGUUAUCCGGAAUGAUUGGGCGUAAAGGGUGCGUAGGCGGCCUGCUAAGUCUGGAGUGAAAGGUACCGGCUCAACCGGUACAGGCUCUGGAAACUG
Molecule: ribosomal RNA, 305 nt
Filed under: uncultured bacterium
Lineage: Bacteria
Description: bacterial SSU rRNA
Rfam family: Bacterial small subunit ribosomal RNA
Source: RNAcentral